Molecule: ribosomal RNA, 286 nt
Filed under: uncultured microorganism
Description: partial 16S ribosomal RNA
Rfam family: Archaeal small subunit ribosomal RNA
Source: RNAcentral
GUGCAGCAGGCGAGAAACCUCCGCAAUGCGGGAAACCGCGACGGGGGACCCCGAGCGCCGUGGCAACGCCACGGCUUUUCCGGAGUGUAAAAAGCUCCGGGAAUAGGGGCUGGGCAAGGCCGGUGGCAGCCGCCGCGGUAAUACCGGCGGCCCGAGUGGUGGCCGCUAUUAUUGGGCCUAAAGCGUCCGUAGCCGGGCCCGUAAGUCCCCUGGCGAAAUCCCACGGCUCAACCGUGGGGCUUGCUGGGGAUACUGCGGGUCUUGGGACCGGGAGAGGCGGGGGGUA